RNAcentral lists this ribosomal RNA (292 nucleotides) under uncultured eukaryote. Its description in RNAcentral is "partial 18S ribosomal RNA". It matches the Rfam family "Eukaryotic small subunit ribosomal RNA", at positions 6 to 244 of the family's 1831-position model. The record is from RNAcentral.
GGUUGAUCCUGCCAGUAGUCAUAUGCUUGUCUCAAAGAUUAAGCCAUGCAUGUCUAAGUAUAAACAAGUUUUAUACUGUGAAACUGCGCACAGCUCAUUAUAUCAGCAAUAAUUUAUUUGAUGGUUACCUUACUACUUGGAUACCCGUGGUAAUUCUAGAGCUAAUACAUGCGUAAAAUCCUGACUCUAAGGGACUGAGAGAACUCCGGUUCUCUUUUUCUCCCGGGGAAGGGAUGUAUUUAUUAGAUACAAGACCAAUAGGGGAAAGGGGAGGGUUUACUCUCUCUUUUUC